RNAcentral lists this ribosomal RNA (497 nucleotides) under uncultured bacterium. RNAcentral's name for it is "partial 16S ribosomal RNA". It matches the Rfam family "Bacterial small subunit ribosomal RNA", at positions 28 to 507 of the family's 1533-position model. The record is from RNAcentral.
GAUGAACGCUGGCGGCGUGCCUAAUACAUGCAAGUCGAGCGAACGGAUGCGAAUCCUUCUUCUGUAAUAUCUUAGCCGGAAAGGUGAGUAUAACAUGGAAAACACAUGUAUCAGACUCUGAUACCAUUAGGGAAAAGUAGAUCUAAUACCAGAUAACUUUAUUACCUGCAGGUCUGAAGUUUAAGAGUUGCUUUUUCUCACACAAUGAUAUAUCUGCGCUGCAUUAGCUAGUUGGUGAGGUAACGGCUUACCAAGGCAACGAUGCAUAGCCGACCUGAGAGGGUGAUCGGCCACACUGGAACUGAGACACGGUCCAGACUCCUACGGGAGGCAGCAGUAGGGAAUCUUCCGCAAUGGGCGAAAGCCUGACGGAGCAACGCCGCGUGAGUGAUGAAGGACUUCGGUUCGUAAAGCUCUGUUGUUAGGGAAGAAUGUAUGUGUAGUAAACUGAGAACGUAGAGACGGUACCUAACCAGAAAGUCACGGCUAACUACGUG